Molecule: transfer RNA, 70 nt
Filed under: Aspergillus udagawae
Lineage: Eukaryota; Fungi; Ascomycota; Eurotiomycetes; Eurotiales; Aspergillaceae
Description: tRNA-Gly
Source: RNAcentral
UACAUCAUCCGAGAAUCGAACACGGACCUCGUCGAUGGCAACGACGAAUCUACCAUUAGAUCAAUGAUGC